UACGGGGGGGGCAAGCGUUGUUCGGAAUUACUGGGCGUAAAGGGCUCGUAGGCGGCCAACUAAGUCGGAUGUGAAAUCCCCAGGCUCAACCUGGGAACUGCAUCCGAUACUGGAUGGCUUGAAUUCGGGAGAGGGAUGCAGAAUUCCAGGUGUAGCGGUGAAAUGCGUAGAUAUCUGGAGGAACACCGGUGGCGAAGGCGGCAUCCUGGACCGGGAUUGACACUGAGGCGCGAAAGCCAGGGGAGCAAACGGG
This 253-nucleotide ribosomal RNA is filed under the name uncultured bacterium. RNAcentral describes it as "partial 16S ribosomal RNA". It matches the Rfam family "Bacterial small subunit ribosomal RNA", at positions 524 to 776 of the family's 1533-position model. The record is from RNAcentral.